GACGAACGCUGGCGGCGUGCCUAACACAUGCAAGUCGAACGGAAAGGCCCGGAGCUUGCGGGGUGCUCGAUUGGCGAACGGGUGAGUAACACGCGUGUAACCCGUCCCUGUAUUAGGGGUAACACUACGAAACAGGGGCGAAUACCGCAGAGAAGCUCUUGCACCGCGGGGGGGGAUGGUGAGAUUCGGCGGUUCGGGCUGGACUAGCGGCUUAUCCGCCUCAUGGUGGGGUAGGUGCGUUCCAAGGUUUUGACGGGUAGCCGGCCUGGGAGGGUGGCCGGCCACCUUGGGACUGCGGUACGGCCCAGACUCCUACGGGAGGCAGCAGUGGGGAAUAUUGCACAAUGGGCGGACGCCUGAUGCAGCAACGCCGCGUGCGUGAUGCCGUCCUUCGGGUUGUAAACCGCUUUCGCCUGUGCCGAAGCGUGAGUGACGGUAAUGGGUCAGGAAGCACCGGCUAACUACGUG
Molecule: ribosomal RNA, 468 nt
Filed under: uncultured bacterium
Lineage: Bacteria
Description: partial 16S ribosomal RNA
Rfam family: Bacterial small subunit ribosomal RNA
Source: RNAcentral